This 866-nucleotide ribosomal RNA is filed under the name Proteocephalus percae. RNAcentral describes it as "eukaryotic LSU rRNA". It matches the Rfam family "Eukaryotic large subunit ribosomal RNA", at positions 165 to 626 of the family's 3401-position model. Lineage: Eukaryota; Metazoa; Platyhelminthes; Cestoda; Proteocephalidea; Proteocephalidae. The record is from RNAcentral.
CCAGCAUUGAGUAUGGUUUACUGGAUUUGGCCCAGAGAGGGUGAAAGGCCCGUAGGGGUGGAGUAUCAGAAAUGUAAGGCAGUUCACCAGGUCGACCUUAGAGUCGGGUUGUUUGGGAAUGCAGCCCAAAGCGGGUGGUAAACUCCAUCCAAGGCUAAAUACAAGCACGAGUCCGAUAGCGAACAAGUACCGUGAGGGAAAGUUGAAAAGUACUCUGAAGAGAGAGUAAACAGUACGUGAAACCGCAUGCAGGUAAACGGGUGGCGUCAAGCUGCAGGCCCAGAGGAUUCAGUCGACUAGGUUGUAGUGUAUGUGCCUGGCGCAUCCAUCAGUCAGAGUGUGAUUGAGUAGUCCAUGGGUAAACCGUGGGCCUGGCCGCAAGGUCGGGAUGUGUGUACCGGAUGGGUGCCGGAGCAUGCUACUCGUCUGUGGACUGUCUAGUCGGUGCACUUUCUCUGUGGUCAACACCACGACCGGUGGUAUUGCCAGUCUGCUGUGCUCAAGUUGUGCUCGGUUGGUCCUUGUGGCUAGCUGGGUGCGAUCACAGGCAAAUUCAGUGAACGGCGCGGGGGUGCUUCGGUAUCUUCGCGUGUUAUCGGCCACUGGUUGUCAACAGGCCUGCCCGGUGUUUGUUGUAACCGGCAUUGGGUGGUCUGGUGGAGCAUGGUGGUAAGAAUAACUGUGCAAGGCACCGGAGUUGUCGGCCUCAAAUGCGUCCCGCACACACGUUACAAGUGGUGAUUAGUGGCGGUGUCGUGGCCAUCUGCCUGGUGUUGGGUGUGAUUGGCGUGUUGCCCGCGAAAAGCGGGCCCGCCAGUGGCUCGAUUCAGGAUGGGUGGUUUGCGGCGCUGUCGGUGUGGGACGUG